UACGUAGGGUGCAAGCGUUGUCCGGAAUUAUUGGGCGUAAAGAGCUCGUAGGUGGCCUGUCGCGUCGGCUGUGAAAACUCGGGGCUCAACUCCGAGCUUGCAGUCGAUACGGGCAGGCUAGAGUUCGGCAGGGGAGACUGGAAUUCCUGGUGUAGCGGUGAAAUGCGCAGAUAUCAGGAGGAACACCGGUGGCGAAGGCGGGUCUCUGGGCCGAUACUGACACUGAGGAGCGAAAGCGUGGGGAGCGAA
RNAcentral lists this ribosomal RNA (249 nucleotides) under uncultured bacterium. Its description in RNAcentral is "partial 16S ribosomal RNA". It matches the Rfam family "Bacterial small subunit ribosomal RNA", at positions 524 to 772 of the family's 1533-position model. The record is from RNAcentral.